AUACGUAUCUGGCAGGGGAGAUACCAUGAUCACGAAGGUGGUUUUCCCAGGGCAAGGCUUAUCCAUUGCACUCUGGAUGUGCUGACCCCUGCGAUUUCCCCAAAUGUGAGAAACUCAACUGCAUAAUUUGUGGUAGUGGGGGACUGCAUUUGCAGUCUCCCC
Molecule: small nuclear RNA, 162 nt
Filed under: Castor canadensis (American beaver)
Lineage: Eukaryota; Metazoa; Chordata; Mammalia; Rodentia; Castoridae
Description: U1 spliceosomal RNA (ENSCCNG00000029327.1)
Rfam family: U1 spliceosomal RNA
About the family: U1 is a small nuclear RNA (snRNA) component of the spliceosome (involved in pre-mRNA splicing). Its 5' end forms complementary base pairs with the 5' splice junction, thus defining the 5' donor site of an intron. There are significant differences in sequence and secondary structure between metazoan and yeast U1 snRNAs, the latter being much longer (568 nucleotides as compared to 164 nucleotides in human).
Source: Rfam by way of RNAcentral